RNAcentral lists this ribosomal RNA (450 nucleotides) under uncultured Glomus. RNAcentral describes it as "SSU rRNA". It matches the Rfam family "Eukaryotic small subunit ribosomal RNA", at positions 569 to 1025 of the family's 1831-position model. The record is from RNAcentral. Lineage: Eukaryota; Fungi; Glomeromycota; Glomeromycetes; Glomerales; Glomeraceae.
AGCAGCCGCGGUAAUUCCAGCUCCAAUAGCGUAUAUUAAAGUUGUUGCAGUUAAAAAGCUCGUAGUUGAAUUUCGGGAUCAGAUUGUCGGUCGUGCCUCGGUACGCACUGGCAUUAUUGGUUCCUACCUUCUGAAGAGCCGCGAUGUCAUUAAUUUGGUGUCGUGGGGAAUCAGGACUGUUACUUUGAAAAAUUAGAGUGUUUAAAGCAGGCGCACGCUUGAAUACAUUAGCAUGGAAUAAUGAAAUAGGACGUUUGAUUCUAUUUUGUUGGUUUCUAGGAUCGACGUAAUGAUUAAUAGGGAUAGUUGGGGGCAUUAGUAUUCAAUUGUCAGAGGUGAAAUUCUUGGAUUUAUUGAAGACUAACUACUGCGAAAGCAUUUGCCAAGGAUGUUUUUCAUUAAUCAAGAACGAAAGUUAGGGGAUGAAGACGAUCAGAUACCGUCGUAGUC